This 249-nucleotide unclassified non-coding RNA is filed under the name plant metagenome. RNAcentral describes it as "partial contains small subunit ribosomal RNA and internal transcribed spacer 1". The stretch from base 1 to 46 matches the Rfam family "Eukaryotic small subunit ribosomal RNA", at positions 1786 to 1831 of the family's 1831-position model. The record is from RNAcentral.
AAGUCGUAACAAGGUUUCCGUAGGUGAACCUGCGGAAGGAUCAUUAUUGAAUAGUCUUGGGCGCUGUGCUGGCUUUUCGGAGCACUGUGCACGCGUUCAUGCAUUAUCUAUCUCUUGUGAACCUAGUGUGGGCUUUGAAUGAGCGGACGGGGCAACCUGAAAGCAAGUUUGAAGACCAUUUUUUAUAAACAAUAAACAAAUCUUAGAAUGUCUUUCUCUGUUACCUCGGUAGCAAAAAAAACUAUACAA